This 232-nucleotide ribosomal RNA is filed under the name Streptomyces sp. DconLS. RNAcentral's name for it is "23S rRNA. Bacterial LSU". It matches the Rfam family "Bacterial large subunit ribosomal RNA", at positions 2695 to 2925 of the family's 2925-position model. Lineage: Bacteria; Bacillati; Actinomycetota; Actinomycetes; Kitasatosporales; Streptomycetaceae. The record is from RNAcentral.
GGACGGACGAACCUCUGGUGUGCCAGUUGUUCUGCCAAGGGCAUGGCUGGUUGGCUACGUUCGGGAGGGAUAACCGCUGAAAGCAUCUAAGCGGGAAGCCUGCUUCGAGAUGAGGACUCCCACCCACUUGAUGGGGUAAGGCUCCCAGUAGACGACUGGGUUGAUAGGCCGGAUCUGGAAGCCAGGUAACUGGUGGAGGUGACCGGUACUAAUAGGCCGAGGGCUUGUCCUC